Non-coding RNA from Paramuricea clavata, 287 nucleotides. NCBI's taxonomy places the organism in Eukaryota, Metazoa, Cnidaria, Anthozoa, Malacalcyonacea, Plexauridae. The record is from the annotation of a GenBank genome assembly.
GUACAAUUUUCACAGUAUUGUCAGAUACGACGUCACCUAUGCCGUCAUGUAACAUUAUUUCUGGGAUGAUAAGCCAUUGAAUCAAUAACUUAACUGUUUCAGGAAUAUUAGUUAUGCAGGUACUUUCCCCAUUUCAGAAAGUCCCAAAAAAGCUCAGUCUGAAUCGGGUUGUUCCAGCUGAUAUUUUUAAGAGAUAUGGAACAUUUGUGUAUAAUAUGUUUUUAUGUGUACAUAUCCUGUUCCAGCUGACAUUUUUAAGAAAUAUAAAACAUAUAUGUGUAAUAUAU